CUCUACGGUCAUGCCACCCUGAACAAGCCCAAUCCCGUCUGAUCUCAGAAGCUAAGCAGGGUCGGGCCUAGUUAGUACUUGGAUGGGAGACCACCUAGGAAGACCAGGUGCUGUAGAUG
RNAcentral lists this ribosomal RNA (119 nucleotides) under Pteropus alecto (black flying fox). Lineage: Eukaryota; Metazoa; Chordata; Mammalia; Chiroptera; Pteropodidae. The record is from RNAcentral.